RNAcentral lists this ribosomal RNA (255 nucleotides) under uncultured bacterium. RNAcentral describes it as "partial 16S ribosomal RNA". It matches the Rfam family "Bacterial small subunit ribosomal RNA", at positions 524 to 777 of the family's 1533-position model. The record is from RNAcentral.
UACGAAGGGGGCUAGCGUUGCCGUCGAAUCACUGGGCGUAAAGGGUGCGUAGGCGGGUCUUUAAGUCAGAGGUGAAAUCCUGGAGCUCAACUCCAGAACUGCCUUUGAUACUGAGGAUCUUGAGUUCGGGAGAGGUGAGUGGAACUGCGAGUGUAGAGGUGAAAUUCGUAGAUAUUCGCAAGAACACCAGUGGCGAAGGCGGCUCACUGGCCCGGUACUGACGCUGAGGUGCGAAAGCUAGGGGAGCGAACGGGG